UACGUAGGUGGCAAGCGUUGUCCGGAAUUAUUGGGCGUAAAGGGCGCGUAGGCGGCACUUUAAGUCAGAUGUGAAAACCCGGGGCUCAACCCCGGAGGUGCAUUUGAAACUGGAGAGCUUGAGUGCGGGAGAGGUAAGUGGAAUUCCUAGUGUAGCGGUGAAAUGCGUAGAUAUUAGGAGGAACACCAGUGGCGAAGGCGACUUACUGGACCGUAACUGACGCUGAGGCGCGAAAGCGUGGGGAGCAAACAGG
Molecule: ribosomal RNA, 253 nt
Filed under: uncultured bacterium
Lineage: Bacteria
Description: partial 16S ribosomal RNA
Rfam family: Bacterial small subunit ribosomal RNA
Source: RNAcentral